This 603-nucleotide unclassified non-coding RNA is filed under the name Hevea brasiliensis (rubber tree). The record is from RNAcentral. Lineage: Eukaryota; Viridiplantae; Streptophyta; Magnoliopsida; Malpighiales; Euphorbiaceae.
UUUUUUUUUUCAAUUAAAUUGCUUAACGCUGCUGUAAACCUAAACAUUGAUUGGUAGACAAAUAUAUACUUUCCUUUAUUCAUGUGAGUGUUGAGCACUUGUGGACUUGAACCUUGCAUCUGCAUAUGUAUGACACGUCAAAUUUUCAAGAGGAGAACUGCCUUACGAAUCAUAUUUUUCUUAUUUACCUUGUUUUUUUGAUAUUCAAGUGAGAUGAUUUUCAUACAAAAGGGAAAAAAAAUGGCAGUAUAAUAUCCUUAAGACAACUUGUGCAACCUCAGAUGGUAAUGAAAGCUUAUGCUGUGCUUUUUGGCAAUUAGCUGAAUGUUUGGGUUGCUUUUUAGUUUUGAACCUGUGGGAAUUGAAAUAAUGUAUUGAUUUGGUUGAUAUUGUUUGAUUCAUGCUCUGAUCUUGUUAAAAUUUUGAAGAGUUGUUGGUUUCCCUUGUUCCUUGUUGUUUACUGGUUGCAAGUUUAGCUAGAAUCUUAUGGCAUAUAUUCUCUUGUUGCCUGCAAAAAAUGACAUGGAGAUGAUAUAAUGUUACUGUCACAUAUAAAACAUGUCGAGAUUGAUGCUAUGAGUUGCAAAGAUCAUAUGAACUGUG